UGGUAGUGUAUUGGACAACCAUGGCUUUCACGGGUAACGGAGGAUUAGGGUUCGAUUCCGGAGAGGGAGCCUGAGAAACGGCUACCACUUCUACGGAGAGCAGCAGGCGCGUAAAUUACCCAAUCCUGAUUCAGGGAGGUAGUGACAAGAAAUAAUGGGUCGGAGUUUAUUCUCCGGGACUGCAAUGGGACGAAUCUAGACCCUUUUUCGAGGAUCAAUUGGAGGGCAAGUCUGGUGCCAGCAGCCGCGGUAAUUCCAGCUCCAAUAGCGUAUAUUAAAGUUGUUGCAGUUAAAAAGCUCGUAGUUGGAUUUCUGGUGUAUUGCCAAGAUAACCUUUUCUAGGUGAUCGAAGCAUAUGCCAUCCUUCUGUUAAAUUUACCGACUGUCAAAGGUCAGUGAACGGCGCAGAUAUUUUACCUUGAGAAAAUUAGAGUGUUUCAGGCAGGCUUGUGCCCGGAUACAUUAGCAUGGAAUAAUAGAACAGGACUUUAGCCUCUUCUGUUGGUCUGGGGGGUUGAAGUAAUGAUUAAUAGGGAUAGUUGGGGGCAUUAGUACUUAACUGUCAGAGGUGAAAUUCUCGGAUUUGUUAAAGACUAACUUAUGCGAA
RNAcentral lists this ribosomal RNA (607 nucleotides) under uncultured ciliate. Its description in RNAcentral is "bacterial SSU rRNA". It matches the Rfam family "Eukaryotic small subunit ribosomal RNA", at positions 326 to 949 of the family's 1831-position model. Lineage: Eukaryota; Ciliophora. The record is from RNAcentral.